UCCUAUGUAGUUUAGUUGGCAAAGCAUCUGCCUGCAGUGCAGGAGACCUGGGUUCAAUUCUUGGGUAGGAA
RNAcentral lists this transfer RNA (71 nucleotides) under Ovis aries (sheep). It matches the Rfam family "tRNA". Rfam says of the family: Transfer RNA (tRNA) molecules are approximately 80 nucleotides in length. Lineage: Eukaryota; Metazoa; Chordata; Mammalia; Artiodactyla; Bovidae. The record is from Rfam by way of RNAcentral.